This 261-nucleotide ribosomal RNA is filed under the name uncultured archaeon. RNAcentral describes it as "partial 16S ribosomal RNA". It matches the Rfam family "Archaeal small subunit ribosomal RNA", at positions 748 to 1009 of the family's 1478-position model. The record is from RNAcentral.
CAGCCGUAAACUAUGCGCGUUAGGUGUAUCGGUGACCACGAGUUACCGAGGUGCCGAAGGGAAACCGUGAAACGUGCCGCCUGGGAAGUACGGUCGCAAGGCUGAAACUUAAAGGAAUUGGCGGGGGAGCACCACAACAGGUGGAGCCUGCGGUUUAAUUGGACUCAACGCCGGGAAGCUCACCGGAUAGGACAGCAGAAUGAUUGCCGGGCUGAAGACCCUGCAUGACUAGUUGAGAGGAGGUGCAUGGCGUAGACGUCU